UGUAGCCAAUAGAAAUUUGAUUUCUAUCUCUAUGCUGGCACAGGACAACUAUAAUUUUCAUUUCAAUAAAGAUACGUAUUCAAUUUAUUUCAAAAAUAAAAUUAUUGUACGUGCUUUCUUGAUUGACGAUCUUUAUCAUUUGCAUACAGAUGUGAGUGUAAAUAUUAACAAGCAAAUAGUGAAUGCCAUAGGGUAUAAGAGAUUUAGAGAUAAGAUUAGCCAAAAGUAUCUAUGGUAUCUUAAGCUAGGCC
Molecule: long non-coding RNA, 251 nt
Filed under: Elaeis guineensis (African oil palm)
Lineage: Eukaryota; Viridiplantae; Streptophyta; Magnoliopsida; Arecales; Arecaceae
Description: long non-coding RNA (EGUI_LNC055673)
Source: RNAcentral